GACGAACGCUGGCGGCGUGCUUAACACAUGCAAGUCGAACGGAAAGGCCCUGCUUUUGUGGGGUGCUCGAGUGGCGAACGGGUGAGUAACACGUGAGUAACCUGCCCUUGACUUUGGGAUAGCUUCAGGAAACUGGGGCUAAUACCAGAUAGGAGCUCCUGCUGCAUGGUGGGGGUUGGAAAGUUUCGGCGGUUGGGGAUGGACUCGCGGCUUAUCAGCUUGUUGGUGGGGUAGUGGCUUACCAAGGCUUUGACGGGUAGCCGGCCUGAGAGGGUGACCGGCCACAUUGGGACUGAGAUACGGCCCAGACUCCUACGGGAGGCAGCAGUGGGGAAUAUUGCACAAUGGGCGGAAGCCUGAUGCAGCAACGCCGCGUGCGGGAUGACGGCCUUCGGGUUGUAAACCGCUUUCGCCUGUGACGAAGCGUGAGUGACGGUAAUGGGUAAAGAAGCACCGGCUAACUACGUG
This 468-nucleotide ribosomal RNA is filed under the name uncultured bacterium. RNAcentral's name for it is "partial 16S ribosomal RNA". It matches the Rfam family "Bacterial small subunit ribosomal RNA", at positions 28 to 507 of the family's 1533-position model. The record is from RNAcentral.